This 426-nucleotide unclassified non-coding RNA is filed under the name Hevea brasiliensis (rubber tree). Lineage: Eukaryota; Viridiplantae; Streptophyta; Magnoliopsida; Malpighiales; Euphorbiaceae. The record is from RNAcentral.
CAACACAAGAACCCGAAAAGAAUUAGGCGAAAUCGGGUGUAUUCCGCCAUUGGUGAGACUCACAGAAGGUAAAUCCGUGGAAGAGAAAGAAGCAGCUGCAAGUGCAUUGUCAAUUUUGAUGAUUUACGCUGGAAAUCGAAAGAUUUUCAGGAAGGAAGAAAGGGGUAUUGUGAAUGCAGUUCAGCUAUUAGAUCCUGUGGUACAAAACUUAGACAAAAGACACCCUGUUUCGUUAUUGGCUUCGCUUGUUUACUCCAAGAAUUGCCGGAAACAAAUGGUGGCUUCCGGGGCUUGUGUGCAUUUACAGAAGCUAGCUGAGAUGGAGAUUGAAGGAGCUAAAAAGCUCUUGGAUUGUCUUAGUAGAGGCAAACUAUGGGGAGUUUUCACCAGACAUUGAGCAGCAACAACACUAAAAACAACACAAGG